RNAcentral lists this small RNA (136 nucleotides) under Arabidopsis thaliana (thale cress). RNAcentral's name for it is "ATSL132290". The record is from RNAcentral. Lineage: Eukaryota; Viridiplantae; Streptophyta; Magnoliopsida; Brassicales; Brassicaceae.
ACGGAUCAUAAUAUCAGAGUUGCUUCCGUCUUUGUUUACAUCUGGAUGGUAUUGUUUCACCUUUACAAAGCACAAAGUAGUCAACAAGACUAAUACAUAUUAAAAAUCCAAAACUUAAGCAACGAGGAGGCGAAGA